AGAUUGAACGCUGGCGGCAUGCUUUACACAUGCAAGUCGAACGGUAACAGGCCGCAAGGUGCUGACGAGUGGCGAACGGGUGAGUAAUGUAUCGGAACGUGCCCAGUCGUGGGGGAUAACGCAGCGAAAGCUGCGCUAAUACCGCAUACGAUCUAUGGAUGAAAGCGGGGGACCGUAAGGCCUCGCGCGAUUGGAGCGGCCGAUAUCAGAUUAGGUAGUUGGUGGGGUAAAGGCUCACCAAGCCAACGAUCUGUAGCUGGUCUGAGAGGACGACCAGCCACACUGGGACUGAGACACGGCCCAGACUCCUACGGGAGCAGCAGUGGGAAUUUGGACAA
RNAcentral lists this ribosomal RNA (338 nucleotides) under uncultured soil bacterium. Its description in RNAcentral is "bacterial SSU rRNA". It matches the Rfam family "Bacterial small subunit ribosomal RNA", at positions 26 to 371 of the family's 1533-position model. The record is from RNAcentral.